GUUUCAGGGCGGAGUGAAAGUCUCCACCGGCGGUAAGAGUCCGCGAACCGUCCCCUAGCAGGGGCGGCCGAACCGGUGAAAUUCCGGUACCGACGGUUACAGUCCGGAGGGAAGAAA
This 117-nucleotide non-coding RNA is filed under the name chicken gut metagenome. RNAcentral describes it as "FMN riboswitch (RFN element)". It matches the Rfam family "FMN riboswitch aptamer (RFN element)". Rfam says of the family: The RFN element is a highly conserved domain that is found frequently in the 5'-untranslated regions of prokaryotic mRNAs that encode for flavin mononucleotide (FMN) biosynthesis and transport proteins. This element is a metabolite-dependent riboswitch that directly binds FMN in the absence of proteins. The record is from RNAcentral.